This 28-nucleotide non-coding RNA is filed under the name Homo sapiens (human). The record is from RNAcentral. Lineage: Eukaryota; Metazoa; Chordata; Mammalia; Primates; Hominidae.
UAACAAGUGUGUGAUGAUUUACUAAGGC